UACGUAGGGACCGAGCGUUGUCCGGAAUGAUUGGGCGUAAAGCGUCCGCAGGUGGCUGUGUAAGUCUGCUGUUAAAGAGUGAGGCUCAACCUCAUAAAAGCAGUGGAAACUACACGGCUAGAGUGCGUUCGGGGCAGAGGGAAUUCCUGGUGUAGCGGUGAAAUGCGUAGAUAUCAGGAAGAACACCGGUGGCGAAAGCGCUCUGCUAGGCCGCAACUGACACUGAGGGACGAAAGCUAGGGGAGCGAAUGGG
Molecule: ribosomal RNA, 253 nt
Filed under: uncultured bacterium
Lineage: Bacteria
Description: partial 16S ribosomal RNA
Rfam family: Bacterial small subunit ribosomal RNA
Source: RNAcentral